UAAGACUAUAGAUCCUGGACUUCCCACAU
Molecule: non-coding RNA, 29 nt
Filed under: Rattus norvegicus (Norway rat)
Lineage: Eukaryota; Metazoa; Chordata; Mammalia; Rodentia; Muridae
Source: RNAcentral